GGGUCAGUAGGUUGGUCGUGCCAACGGUACGUACUGGUCUCACUGAUUCCUCCUUCCUGAAGAACCGUAAUGCCAUUAAUUGGGUGUUGCGGGGAAACAGGACUGUUACUUUGAAAAAAUUAGAGUGUUUAAAGCAAGCUAACGCUUGAAUACAUUAGCAUGGAAUAAUGAAAUAGGACGAUCGAUCCUAUUAUGUUGGUUUCUAGGAUUGACAUA
This 216-nucleotide ribosomal RNA is filed under the name Glomeromycotina sp. RNAcentral describes it as "partial small subunit ribosomal RNA". The stretch from base 87 to 216 matches the Rfam family "Eukaryotic small subunit ribosomal RNA", at positions 733 to 864 of the family's 1831-position model. The record is from RNAcentral. Lineage: Eukaryota; Fungi; Glomeromycota.